UUCGGCUUCCGGCGGAAGAGCCAGGGAGCAAGAUGGCUGCCGUCAAGACUGUACUGCCGGCUGUUGAGACAGCGUGGGCUUCUCUGGUGGCUCUGCCCUCUCAGCCUGUGAGCAGCGCCCGUGACCAAAUGGCUUUGCUGGUCCUAGCGCUGCCCAGACCCUUUUCCCCUGUGACCCUGGUCUCGGAGAGUUGUGACAGUAUUGAAGAGAUUGUGAAGCUGGAGGCAAUGAAGCUAUUGAAAGGACACAGUGUGGUCGGGUGAUGGUUGAAGACGUUUUCCGGGCAGACCCUUGAAGAGAAUAAAGAGGAAGGAGGGUCGGAGCCUUCCCAAGCAGAACCCCAGGAGGUGAGGCCAAGGCGUGUGCUCCCGCAGGAGGGGCUGCACUUCCCACCCGGGGCGCUCCUCACGUGCCCGGCGGCUGGUGACCGGAGUGGAGAAGCGGGGCUUUCGUGCCCGUGUGGGGCUCUAGGCCUGCUCUCCAUGGCCAGCUCCGGCCCAGACACCAAUGGCUCCCAGUUCUUCCUGACGUGUGACAAGACAGAUUGGCUGGAUGGCAAGCACGUGGUGUUUGGGGAGGUCACAGAAGGCCUGGAAGUCUUGGGGCAGAUUGAGGCCCAGGGCAGCAAGGAUGGGAAGCCAAAGCAGAAGGUGAUCAUCGCCAACUGUGGGGAGUACGUGUGAGUCGGCGCAGUCUCGGCUCUGCCCCUGCGCAUCCGGGAGCCGUCAGCCUGGGAGCCAGCACCUGCGCGUGUCCGUCCCCUCUGCGGCGAGCAGGGGCUUGUGCUGUGGCCCUUCUCGGGGUCAGCUCGCAGCAGCUCUUCUCAGGUACGGCCUGGGCUCCCUCUGGCUCUUUG
Long non-coding RNA from Suricata suricatta (meerkat), 856 nucleotides. RefSeq lists it as uncharacterized. The transcript is spliced from 5 exons. NCBI's taxonomy places the organism in Eukaryota, Metazoa, Chordata, Mammalia, Carnivora, Herpestidae. The record is from RefSeq and is a predicted model, not a curated record.